GCACUUGUAGCUCAGUUGGUUAGAGCAUUUGUCUUAUGAGCCAAAGGUCUGCGGUUCAUCAAAUCCGCACCUGUGCA
Ochromonadaceae sp. CCMP2298 is the source of this 77-nucleotide non-coding RNA. Lineage: Eukaryota; Synurophyceae; Ochromonadales; Ochromonadaceae. The record is from the annotation of a GenBank genome assembly.